Molecule: ribosomal RNA, 425 nt
Filed under: uncultured bacterium
Lineage: Bacteria
Description: partial 16S ribosomal RNA
Rfam family: Bacterial small subunit ribosomal RNA
Source: RNAcentral
GUGGGGAAUAUUGGACAAUGGGCGAAAGCCUGAUCCAGCCAUGCCGCGUGAGUGAUGAAGGCCCUAGGGUUGUAAAGCUCUUUCAACGGUGAAGAUAAUGACGGUAACCGUAGAAGAAGCCCCGGCUAACUUCGUGCCAGCAGCCGCGGUAAUACGAAGGGGGCUAGCGUUGUUCGGAAUUACUGGGCGUAAAGCGCACGUAGGCGGACAUUUAAGUCAGGGGUGAAAUCCCGGGGCUCAACCCCGGAACUGCCUUUGAUACUGGGUGUCUAGAGUCCGGAAGAGGUGAGUGGAAUUCCGAGUGUAGAGGUGAAAUUCGUAGAUAUUCGGAGGAACACCAGUGGCGAAGGCGGCUCACUGGUCCGGUACUGACGCUGAGGUGCGAAAGCGUGGGGAGCAAACAGGAUUAGAAACCCUUGUAGUCC